RNAcentral lists this unclassified non-coding RNA (1689 nucleotides) under Hevea brasiliensis (rubber tree). The record is from RNAcentral. Lineage: Eukaryota; Viridiplantae; Streptophyta; Magnoliopsida; Malpighiales; Euphorbiaceae.
GCAAGGGUCACGUGCUUACCUUCUUCCUCGCGUGUGAAUUAGAUGAAAAAAUUGGAACCUCCAUAUAAGGGCACAAAACCCUGCAGAUGAAAGUCAAGAUCCUCGUAUAAUUUUCUUCUGAUUGAAAAUUGCAAAAAAUCUAAUCUGUCACAGAAAUCCUUAAGACUCAACCAUGGCUACCCAAUUGAGCCAGAAAAAGACAGCUUGUGUGAUCGGUGGCACUGGUUUUGUUGCUUCAUUGCUGGUGAAGUUGUUGCUUGAGAAGGGUUAUGCUGUGAAUACUACAGUCAGGGACCCAGGUAAUCAGAAGAAGACCUCUCAUCUCCUAGCACUGAAAAAAUUGGGGGAGCUAAACAUAUUUGGAGCUGAUUUGACCAAUGAAGAAAGUUUUGAUGCUGCCGUAGCAGGUUGUGACUUUGUCUUCCAUGUUGCAACCCCUGUGAAUUUUGCUUCUCAAGAUCCAGAGAAUGACAUGAUCAAGCCAGCAGUCCAAGGAGUUCAUAAUGUUUUGAAAGCUUGUGCGAAAGCGAAAACAGUGAAAAGGGUCAUCCUGACAUCCUCUGCUGCUGCUGUAACAAUAAAUAAGCUCAGUGGUACAGGUUUAGUCAUGGAUGAGAAAAACUGGACUGAUACCGAGUUCUUGACUUCUGAGAAGCCACCCACUUGGGGGUACCCUCUUUCCAAGACUUUAGCUGAGAAGGCAGCUUGGAAGUUUGCUCAAGAAAAUAACAUUGAUCUCAUUUCUGUUAUCCCUACACUCAUGACUGGUCCUUCUCUGACAUUGGAUAUUCCCAGCAGUGUAAACCUGGCCACAUCACUGAUCACAGGUGUUAAUUCAACCAGAAUUCUAAAAUAUGUGCCAUUUAAUGAGGAAUCCUAACUUCAAGUAUUACCUCUGAACAAACCCAUGGAAGAUAUACAUGUAGGGUUGCCAUUUUGGACAGUCCACUGAGUUGAAUUAUAUGUAUCGACAAUUUGCAGGAAAUGAGUUCCUCAUAAAUGCUUUGAAAGGCAUGCAAAUGCUGUCAGGCUCAGUAUCAAUAACGCAUGUGGAGGAUGUCUGUCGCGCCCAUAUAUUUUUAGCUGAGAAAGAAUCAUCUUCUGGUCGAUAUAUAUGUUCCUGCGUGAAUACCAGUGUUCCUGAGCUUGCCAAAUUCCUCAAGGACAGAUAUCCUCAGUACGAAGUCCCAACUGAGUUUGGAGAUUUCCCUUCCAAGGCCAAGUUAAUCAUCUCAUCAGAGAAGCUAAUCAGUGAGGGGUUCAGUUUCAAGUAUGGGAUUGAAGAGAUCUAUGACCAAACUGUGGAGUAUCUGAAGGCCAAAGGGACGCUGAAUUGAAGUGUUUGUGUUUGUGUUCAUGUAUCAAUCCUCAGUGACAGCACAGCCAUUUUAACCUUUACAUACGUUGCUGUUGUACUAUAAAUGCUCUGUUGAAAAAAUAAUUUGCAAUUUCCUAUAUAUGUCUAGUUUAUUUGUAUUUUUGUUUUUUCUUGGUGAUUAAAUAUUAUUAAUGUAAUAGUUCAAAGUAUGUGUCUUUUUUGGUUUCUUGGAUGGUUCAUGAAUGGAUAUUAAUUUAGGUUUAUGUAAUUAGAACUUGAGGGGUUGCCUAAACUCCUAUAUAUAUUCCUUGUACUUGAAAAUUAAUAUGUGUGUAAUACAUAAUAGUGUUUUCUCUCCUCUUUCUUUUCCA